Molecule: ribosomal RNA, 253 nt
Filed under: uncultured bacterium
Lineage: Bacteria
Description: partial 16S ribosomal RNA
Rfam family: Bacterial small subunit ribosomal RNA
Source: RNAcentral
UACGUAGGGGGCGAGCGUUGUCCGGAAUCACUGGGCGUAAAGGGCGCGUAGGUGGCCCGGGCAGUCAAUGGUGAAAGUUCGGGGCUCAACCCUGAAUCGGCCGUCGAUACUCCCGGGCUGGAGCACUGUAGAGGCAGAUGGAAUUCCGGGUGUAACGGUGGAAUGCGUAGAGAUCCGGAAGAACACCGGUGGCGAAGGCGGUCUGCUGGGCAGUUGCUGACACUGAGGCGCAACAGCGUGGGGCGCAAACAGG